CUUUACUAUAGCUUGGAAUUGUGUUCGGGCUUGCUGUGCGCAGUAUAGGUGGGAGGCGUUGAAGGUAUCCUUGUGGGGAUACUAGAGCCAACAGUGAGAUACCACUCUCAGAAAGCUAGAAUUCUAACGGUAAAACCGGAAAGUUUCAGGUGGGUAGUUUGACUGGGGCGGUCGCCUCCAAAAAAGUAACGGAGGCGUACAAAGGUUACCUCAGACUGGUUGGAAAUCAGUCGUAGAGUGCAAAAGCAGAAGGUAGCUUGACUGCGAGACUGACAAGUCAAGCAGGGUGGAAACACGGUUUUAGUGAUCCGACGGUGCUGUGUGGAAGGGCCGUCGCUCAACGGAUAAAAGUUA
RNAcentral lists this ribosomal RNA (354 nucleotides) under uncultured organism. Its description in RNAcentral is "bacterial LSU rRNA". It matches the Rfam family "Bacterial large subunit ribosomal RNA", at positions 2099 to 2465 of the family's 2925-position model. The record is from RNAcentral.